Molecule: ribosomal RNA, 253 nt
Filed under: uncultured bacterium
Lineage: Bacteria
Description: partial 16S ribosomal RNA
Rfam family: Bacterial small subunit ribosomal RNA
Source: RNAcentral
UACGGAGGGUGCGAGCGUUGUCCGGAAUCACUGGGCGUAAAGGGCGCGUAGGCGGCUUUUCAAGUCGGGGGUGAAAGCCUGUGGCUCAACCACAGAAUUGCCUUCGAUACUGUUAGGCUUGAGACCGGAAGAGGUUAGUGGAACUGCGAGUGUAGAGGUGAAAUUCGUAGAUAUUCGCAAGAACACCAGUGGCGAAGGCGGCUAACUGGUCCGGUUCUGACGCUGAGGCGCGAAAGCGUGGGGAGCAAACAGG